This 57-nucleotide microRNA precursor is filed under the name Mus pahari (shrew mouse). RNAcentral's name for it is "microRNA 7059 (MGP_PahariEiJ_G0006582.1)". The record is from RNAcentral. Lineage: Eukaryota; Metazoa; Chordata; Mammalia; Rodentia; Muridae.
AAACCAGUGGGGACUGGCUUUCAGUUAAAGGUCACCGUAUGCUGUUUGUCCUCCCAG